AUCACAAUGAAGAAAAUAGAGUGGAUAUUGGAAAGUAGUAAAAUGGACAUUAAAGCAACCCUGAGAUAUAGAGCUGUGAAGGCAAGCCAAAGCAAAGAGUGACCUUCAUGUAGCUGCUGCUCUUCAAAGUGCCUGGGUAACGCAGGGGAUGACUUCCAGCAUCCCUCUGAUAGAUGGCUCAGCUAUGGGGAAUGCUGUCAUAGCAGAGAGGAAGGAGUGAGCUGAAUGAUAAAAUAUUCAAAAUGCCACAGAUAAUUGAAUAGGCAAAAGUUCUUACCUGGAGGAUCUCCUGCUUUGUAGAGCAGGCUGAGAAGCAGUUGUGCUAGGAGUGUGAUCGUGCAUCAUGUCCAGCGUGCCUGUGGGUCUCUUCUACUGCUGGCUGAAGGUUCAACCCUUUGGAUAAAGGAAACAUGGCUUUAAAACUGAGGAUCCUGAACCUUUCUGGAGUGGAUUUACAGCAGAAGUAACGGACAGACCCUUCUGCCCAUCCUCUUGGGGUUGGCACCCAGCAGCAGUGUUGCUCCUCUCAGGGGUUCACACAGCUCAGAGGCAUUGGUGAAUACUCUGCUAUCAACAAUCAAGUGUCUGGAUUUGAACAACCGAAAAUUCAGGGAAACUUCUUAUAGCAAACAGCAAGUGCUUGAGAAGCAUGCAUUCCUGGCUUGUGUCAGCACCAGUGCGGCCAGCAGGAGCAGGAGGGAAUUGUCCCUCUGCAGUCAGCACUGAUUCUAUGACUCUGUGAAAAGCAGAGGCUCAGGUGAUAAUGUGCCUCCUGAUGCUGGAGCUCUGAGGAAGAAAACCAACCAUCUCUAUCCUAGGAGCACCCAGCUACAUGAGCACACAUGGAGUGGUUCUAAUGCCUCUAAAGUUAAGCUUAGAUUAAUUACUAAUCUGAAUCACAUCAAUGUUUUCUGUACUGACUCUCUGGUUCAAAGGGAAGGAGAUGUUUUCCAUCAGACAUCUGUACGUGAUUUCUUUCCACCCUGAAGACAUAAAGAUGUGUAGAGGACCAUUAAUAGGAAUGGAUGUGCUUGAGGAGAAGGAACAAGCAGCUGGAGAAGGAGAUGUGAACAGACUGACCUGCUUCAGACUUGUCAUCAGAUCCUGGGAAGCCACCCUUCAGAUUGCUGUGCUACACACUGAUGAGUCAAUCUGUUGCAUUGGAUGUCUUCAGAGAAGGACGGAAAUAAUGAUCCUACUGUCCUGGGAAGAGCUGGAGAGGAAAUGUCAGCCAACGGCAUAUGCAAGGUAUGGAGCAUGUGGGCACUGCAGCCACGUAGGGAUCAGAUGA
RNAcentral lists this long non-coding RNA (1291 nucleotides) under Numida meleagris (helmeted guineafowl). Its description in RNAcentral is "lncRNA (ENSNMEG00000017188.1)". The record is from RNAcentral. Lineage: Eukaryota; Metazoa; Chordata; Aves; Galliformes; Numididae.